GGAUAAGUUCUUUUCCAGCAUAGUUGGUCCUAAUGAUAGAGAAGAGCAGUUCAUGUUUAAUGUGCUUUUAAGAGGAAAGUGUUCCAGGAAUGGAUCCAAGUUUCCAGAGUUUGAUAUAUUUUUGCUGCUGUUCGAGGAAAACUUCCUCCUCUCAUGUGAAGAGAUAAGGUUUGUUGUUGGAGUUCUCUUUGUGAACAAGGAAAUUGGACUGGCCAGGUUUGUGAAAUGUCUCUGAACGGAUAUUCCAUGGUAGCUGAGAAGGGAUUUAUUUGCAAUUAUCCGUGCUGUUGUCUCAGCCGAUUUAAAGGGCUUUAUUGGGGUAGAAAUCUCAAAGGAGAAAUAAUCCUUGUUCCCACCAUUGUUGCCAUGGUGAUGUGCCAUCAGUUCUAUUGCCAGGAGGAAUAGAAGAGGUGAAAAUGGACAACCUUGUUUGGUGCCUCAGCU
Molecule: long non-coding RNA, 444 nt
Organism: Rhineura floridana
Lineage: Eukaryota; Metazoa; Chordata; Lepidosauria; Squamata; Rhineuridae
Exons: 3
Source: RefSeq, a predicted model, not a curated record